This is a long non-coding RNA of Pieris napi, 2182 nucleotides long. RefSeq lists it as uncharacterized. The record is from RefSeq and is a predicted model, not a curated record. NCBI's taxonomy places the organism in Eukaryota, Metazoa, Arthropoda, Insecta, Lepidoptera, Pieridae. The transcript has 4 exons.
UUAUGACCUCUUUAAGCAUUAUACACCUUUUUUCGAAAUAUUCAUUAAAAUGUAAAUUAUUUAAAUAAAUAAAAUUACUUUAACUAUUACCGGUAAAUUCAUAUGUAAAUUACUUCAAUUAUAUAGGACUGUGUUGUUAUAAUAAUAUUUAUUGGACAUAGAACAUUCUAUGAGAAAAAAUGGUGCUCCUCACGACUUUAGCGAGGAUCGACGUAAAAUUAAUCGCACCACUUCUCGCUGUGGUACAGAUUUCAAUUAUAACUAUUUCUGAGAACUUCAAAUAUCAGAACUAUCCACCUCAAGCUAAUUGUACUGAUGGAGAUAGUUUCGACUUUAUAAUAAUAGGUGGCGGAGGUGCUGGCUGCGUUAUGGCCAACCGGCUGACUGAGAUCUCAAAUUGGUCAGUUCUCGUUAUUGAAGCUGGAGAAGAUCCACCUCUUGCAUCUGAUAGUCCAGGAAUUUCAACGCUAGUAGCACCCAAACUGCCACGGUGGGAAUUUCCUUCUACGGAUGAUCAAUACUCAAGUCAAGCUCUGCAGUCGAAGAAAAUAGUUUAUUCUCAAGGAAAGAUGACAGGUGGAUCGACUGGCUUAAACUUUAUGUAUUAUGUCAAAGGCAACGACAAAGACUUCGCUGAAUGGGUCGACAAAGGUAAUAAGAAUUGGGAUGCGGAAAUGGCACGCAAAUAUUAUUACAAAUCCGAAAGAUUUACAGACAAAGAAAUACUUGGCAGUGAAACAGGCCCAUUGCAUAACACAAAAGGAUAUCUAGGAGUUACUAAAUAUGACUGGCAGUAAGAAACUGAGGAAUUGUUCAGCGCGUUGAAACAAAACGGACGUAAGAUUCUACAAGACACCAAUGGGAACGAACAAAUCGGAUACUCACUACCUCAAUUCUCAGUAGCCGAUAAACUAAGACAGAGUUCUAUUGUAUCCUACAUAAGACCGAUAAAUAGGCCAAAUCUUUCACUACUUAGAAGUAAUUAUGUCAGUAAAAUAACCAUUGUUGGCGAUGUUGCUACUGGUGUAGAAGUUACUGACAAGGAUGGUAAUGUUAAAAAACUAAAAGCUAAAAAAGAAGUAAUUUUAUCAGCAGGAGCGAUAAAAAGUCCGCAAGUACUCAUGGUAUCUGGUAUAGGACCUCAAGACGAGUUACAAAAACACAAUAUUCCAGUAGUUAUUGACUCGCCACAAGUCGGGGCUAACUUUCAUGAUCAUUCGAUAAUUCCUAUAAUGAUUUCUGGAAAGAAAGAAUCCUUGUUUAAACCCUAUUUAAGUGAUUUACAAGUCCUAAGUAAACUAGAUGAAUUUCCAAAACCUUGCGUCAUGGGAUUUGAAGCUUUAGAUAAGAAUGACACUCGGCCACAGUAUCAAGUAAAAGCUUUUCCUUUCCCACAUGGCAGUUUGUUCAGCACACUUAUGUGUGUCGAAGUGUUUAGAUGGAACCAAAAAAUUUGUGAAAACAUAGCUAAAGCAUCUCAUCAUGAUGCGUUAUUUGCACUUAUCGUAUUAUUACACCCUAAGUCUCGGGGAUAUGUGCGUAUUAAAAGUAAUAAUCCAGAAGACAAUCCCGUAAUUACAACAAACUAUUUUGCUGAUAAGGAAGAUAUACAAACUUUUGCACGUUCAGCCGAAGAUUUCGUGUCAAUAGUCAACACGCCCGUUUUUAAAAACAGUUCUAUGAAAGUUGCCGAUCUUGGUAUAGAGCAAUGUAAACGCAUAACAUUUGCAACGCCAAAGUACUGGGAAUGUUAUGUUUUGAACAUGGCUUCUACACUUUUCCAUCCAGUUGGUACAUGCGCAAUGGGUCCAAAAGGCGUAGUAGACGAAGAUCUUCUCGUGCGAGGUUUGAAAAAUUUACGCGUGGUAGAUGCCAGCGUUAUGCCAACGAUAGUAAGUGGAAAUACUUAUGCAACUGUUGCUAUGAUAGCUGAAAGAGCCGCGGAUAUAAUCAAGUCAAAGCAUAGCGCAUAGAGAUAGGUAUAAUAUAAUUCAUAUAAAUUAAUAUUUUUUAAUCCAAUGUUAUCAACGAUUGUGCAUAUGAAAACGGCUUUAUGAUAGUGUCUUUAUUAGAGCAGUAUAAAAUACUGUCAACGUAUCUAAUCCAUAUUAUUUAUCUACUGCAAUAUAAAUAAUAUUUUAAAAUAUUUAACAAAAAAAAUAAAUAAAGAUUGUUCGUUUGU